Molecule: ribosomal RNA, 493 nt
Filed under: uncultured bacterium
Lineage: Bacteria
Description: partial 16S ribosomal RNA
Rfam family: Bacterial small subunit ribosomal RNA
Source: RNAcentral
GACGAACGCUGGCGGCGUGCUUAACACAUGCAAGUCGAACGGUGAAGCGCCUUCCUUUUUGGUGGGUGUGGAUGAGUGGCGAACGGGUGAGUAACACGUGAGUAACCUGCCCCCUUCUUCUGGAUAACCGCAUGAAAGUGUGGCUAAUACGGGAUAUUCUGGGUCUGUCGCAUGAUGGGUCUGGGAAAGAUAUUGUUUCGGUGGGGGAUGGGCUCGCGGCCUAUCAGCUUGUUGGUGGGGUGAUGGCCUACCAAGGCGGUGACGGGUAGCCGGCCUGAGAGGGUGGACGGUCACACUGGGACUGAGACACGGCCCAGACUCCUACGGGAGGCAGCAGUGGGGAAUAUUGCACAAUGGGCGCAAGCCUGAUGCAGCGACGCCGCGUGAGGGAUGGAGGCCUUCGGGUUGUGAACCUCUUUCGCCAGUGAAGCAGGCCUGCCUCGUUUGUGGGUGGGUUGACGGUAGCUGGAUAAGAAGCGCCGGCUAACUACGU